AAGAGACGUUGCCCUUCGGGGUAUACCUCCCACCCUUUGUUUCUUAUACCUUUGUUGCUUUGGCGGGCCCGUCCUCGGACCACCGGCUUCUGCUGGUCAGUGCCCGCCAGAGGACCUAAAACUCUGUUUGUUAAUAUUGUCUGAGUACUAUAUAAUAGUUA
RNAcentral lists this unclassified non-coding RNA (161 nucleotides) under soil metagenome. RNAcentral describes it as "partial internal transcribed spacer 1". The record is from RNAcentral.